RNAcentral lists this unclassified non-coding RNA (299 nucleotides) under plant metagenome. RNAcentral's name for it is "partial contains 5.8S ribosomal RNA, internal transcribed spacer 2, and large subunit ribosomal RNA". The stretch from base 1 to 105 matches the Rfam family "5.8S ribosomal RNA", at positions 50 to 154 of the family's 154-position model. The record is from RNAcentral.
GAAAUGCGAUAAGUAAUGUGAAUUGCAGAAUUCAGUGAAUCAUCUAAUCUUUGAACGCACAUUGCGCCCCCUGGUAUUCCGGGGGGCAUGCCUGUUCGAGCGUCAUCUCACCACUCAAGCCUCGCUUGGUAUUGGGCGACGCGGUCCGCCGCGCGCCUCAAAUCGACCGGCUGGGUCUUUCGUCCCCUCAGCGUUGUGGAAACUAUUCGCUAAAGGGUGCCGCGGGAGGCCACGCCGUAAAACAACCCCAUUUCUAAGGUUGACCUCGGAUCAGGUAGGGAUACCCGCUGAACUUAAGC